RNAcentral lists this ribosomal RNA (880 nucleotides) under Halomonas taeheungii. RNAcentral describes it as "bacterial SSU rRNA". It matches the Rfam family "Bacterial small subunit ribosomal RNA", at positions 54 to 934 of the family's 1533-position model. The record is from RNAcentral. Lineage: Bacteria; Pseudomonadati; Pseudomonadota; Gammaproteobacteria; Oceanospirillales; Halomonadaceae.
CAUGCAGUCGAGCGGUAACAGAUCUAGCUUGCUAGAUGCUGACGAGCGGCGGACGGGUGAGUAAUGCAUAGGAAUCUGCCCGGUAGUGGGGGAUAACCUGGGGAAACCCAGGCUAAUACCGCAUACGUCCUACGGGAGAAAGGGGGCUUCGGCUCCCGCUAUUGGAUGAGCCUAUGUCGGAUUAGCUAGUUGGUGAGGUAAUGGCUCACCAAGGCAACGAUCCGUAGCUGGUCUGAGAGGAUGAUCAGCCACAUCGGGACUGAGACACGGCCCGAACUCCUACGGGAGGCAGCAGUGGGGAAUAUUGGACAAUGGGCGCAAGCCUGAUCCAGCCAUGCCGCGUGUGUGAAGAAGGCCCUCGGGUUGUAAAGCACUUUCAGCGAGGAAGAACGCCUAGUGGUUAAUACCCAUUAGGAAAGACAUCACUCGCAGAAGAAGCACCGGCUAACUCCGUGCCAGCAGCCGCGGUAAUACGGAGGGUGCAAGCGUUAAUCGGAAUUACUGGGCGUAAAGCGCGCGUAGGUGGCUUGAUAAGCCGGUUGUGAAAGCCCCGGGCUCAACCUGGGAACGGCAUCCGGAACUGUCAAGCUAGAGUGCAGGAGAGGAAGGUAGAAUUCCCGGUGUAGCGGUGAAAUGCGUAGAGAUCGGGAGGAAUACCAGUGGCGAAGGCGGCCUUCUGGACUGACACUGACACUGAGGUGCGAAAGCGUGGGUAGCAAACAGGAUUAGAUACCCUGGUAGUCCACGCCGUAAACGAUGUCGACCAGCCGUUGGGUGCCUAGCGCACUUUGUGGCGAAGUUAACGCGAUAAGUCGACCGCCUGGGGAGUACGGCCGCAAGGUUAAACUCAAAUGAAUUGACGGGGGCCCGCACAGCGUGG